GCUAGUAUCAUAUCCAGUUACUAAAAACAUGAUGAAUCUGUCGAGUGUUCUUUGUAUUUGCACAAUACAAACUGAAGUGUAGACGCCAGUGGCCAAGAUUUUGCUGGGCUGAACUUUCUGAUAUGAUUACUAGAGGAAUUUCACAUUUUCCAUGCUUUUAUUUACAUGGCAGUGGCUAAACCGAAGGCAUGCUCUCCAACUGAGGGCACAACAGGGGAUUCCGGUCUCUGAAUACGGGG
RNAcentral lists this long non-coding RNA (239 nucleotides) under Hordeum vulgare. RNAcentral describes it as "long non-coding RNA (HVUL_LNC019892)". The record is from RNAcentral. Lineage: Eukaryota; Viridiplantae; Streptophyta; Magnoliopsida; Poales; Poaceae.